This 497-nucleotide ribosomal RNA is filed under the name uncultured bacterium. RNAcentral describes it as "partial 16S ribosomal RNA". It matches the Rfam family "Bacterial small subunit ribosomal RNA", at positions 28 to 507 of the family's 1533-position model. The record is from RNAcentral.
GAUGAACGCUGGCGGCGUGCCUAAUACAUGCAAGUCGAGCGAACAGAUCAGGCGCUUGCUCCUUUGACGUUAGCGGCGGACGGGUGAGUAACACGUGUGUAACCUACCUAUAAGACUGGAAUAACUCCGGGAAACCGGGGCUAAUGCCGGAUAACCUUUAGAACCGCAUGGUUCUAAAGUGAAAUAUGGUUUUUCUAUCACUUCUAGCUGGACCCCCGCCGUAUUGGCUGGUUGGUAAGUUAACGGCUUACCAAGGCAACCAUACGUUGCCGACCGGAGAGGGGGAUCGGCGACAUGGGAACGGAGACGCGGACCAGGCUCCUACGGGAGGCAGCAGUAGGGAAUCUGCGGCAAUGGGCGAGAGCCUGACGGAGCAACCGCACGUGAGUGAUGAAGGUGUCGGGAGCGUAAAACUGGGUUACGAGGGAAGAACAAAUGUGUAAGUAAAUGUGGACGUAGUGACGGUACCGAAUCAGAAAGCAACGGCUAACUACGUG